GGGGGUCGCACUGAGACGCAGCCUAACUCCCCACCCUUUUUUACCUGUUGCUUUGGCAGAUGCAAGUCUGCCAGGCUUAAACUCUGUGUUUUGUUGUCUGAGUGUGGCUUUUGGAAUGUUAAAACUUUCAACAAUGGAUCUCUUGGCUCUGGCAUCGAUGAAGAACGCAGCGAAAAGCGAUAUGUAAUGUGAAUUGCAGAAUUUAGUGAAUCAUCGAAUCUUUGAACGCACAUUGCGCCCUGUAGCAUUCUACAGGGCAUGCCUGUUCGAGUGUCAUUUCACCCUCAAGCAUAGCUUGGUCUUGAAUCUAGUCGUACGACUGAUUUUAAAAAUAGUAGUGGCUUCGUAGGUGCUAAACGUAGUAACUUUCGUUCCAGCGCCUCAUCUUAGCUGCGAAAUGGACUUUUUGUAGUUGACCUCGAAUCAGGUAGGGAUACCCGCUGAACUUAAGCAUAUCAAUAAGCGGAGGAGGAUCAUUACAGAGUGAGGCGCAGGCCGGAAGGCCCCACCCUUUUUUACCUGUUGCUUUGGCAGAUGCAGGUCUGCCGGCUUAAACUCUGUGUGUUGUUGUCUGAGUGUGGGCUUUUGGAAUGUUAAAACUUUCACAAUGGAGCCUUGGCUCUGGCUCAUGAAAAAGCAGCGAAAAGCGAUAUGUAAUGGGAAUUGCAGAAAUUUUGGUGAAAUCAU
Molecule: ribosomal RNA, 687 nt
Rfam family: 5.8S ribosomal RNA (bases 123-276)